UACGAAGGGUGCAAACGUUGCUCGGAAUUAUUGGGCGUAGAGCGCACGUAGGCGGCUUGGCAAGUCGGAUGUGAAAUCCCUCGGCUCAACCAAGGAAGUGCAUCCGAAACUGCUGAGCUUGAGUACUUAAGAGGAUCGCGGAAUUCCCGGUGUAGAGGUGAAAUUCGUAGAUAUCGGGAGGAACACCAGUGGCGAAGGCGGCGAUCUGGGAAGAUACUGACGCUGAGGUGCGAAAGCGUGGGGAGCAAACAGG
RNAcentral lists this ribosomal RNA (253 nucleotides) under uncultured bacterium. RNAcentral describes it as "partial 16S ribosomal RNA". It matches the Rfam family "Bacterial small subunit ribosomal RNA", at positions 524 to 776 of the family's 1533-position model. The record is from RNAcentral.